Oncorhynchus masou masou (cherry salmon) is the source of this 465-nucleotide long non-coding RNA. RefSeq lists it as uncharacterized. The transcript is spliced from 4 exons. The record is from RefSeq and is a predicted model, not a curated record. NCBI's taxonomy places the organism in Eukaryota, Metazoa, Chordata, Actinopteri, Salmoniformes, Salmonidae.
ACGACACAGAGAAAGUAAUGGAGAGAGACAGAAGAAUAGAUUUCCAGACAGUUGUAGAAUGUAUGCCAAGACACAUUGUAAGAGCUAUAAAGAGAGAGGGAGAGAGAACAGGCAGAACCUGAUAUGUAAAUGAGCAGGGCAAAUGAAACUAACUUUUGACGACCCGAUGAUCCUUCAGACUGUGUUUCUAUUGAGAGAUAAAAGGCUGGUUGAAUGAGUUGUCUAUGAAAGCUACUUCAUCUGUAAGAAAACAGGCGUCUGCACCAGUGACUGGGUCAGUGCUCUAAAAUGAGUCUCUCUGGGGAGAGAGAGGGGGGCCCUGCCUCUAAAAUGCAUCUCUCUGGGGGACAUGACACCAAAGCUAAGAAACCAAUCCAGCAGGAGAGACCAGCCUCCCCUGUUCCCAGCUGUGUGUCCAUGAAGAGUGACCAGUCUAUGGAACAACCUUAAAGUUUAGAGAGGGAG